Molecule: ribosomal RNA, 1310 nt
Filed under: Shigella sonnei
Lineage: Bacteria; Pseudomonadati; Pseudomonadota; Gammaproteobacteria; Enterobacterales; Enterobacteriaceae
Description: bacterial LSU rRNA
Rfam family: Bacterial large subunit ribosomal RNA
Source: RNAcentral
CAAAUCGUACCCCAAACCGACACAGGUGGUCAGGUAGAGAAUACCAAGGCGCUUGAGAGAACUCGGGUGAAGGAACUAGGCAAAAUGGUGCCGUAACUUCGGGAGAAGGCACGCUGAUAUGUAGGUGAAGUCCCUCGCGGAUGGAGCUGAAAUCAGUCGAAGAUACCAGCUGGCUGCAACUGUUUAUUAAAAACACAGCACUGUGCAAACACGAAAGUGGACGUAUACGGUGUGACGCCUGCCCGGUGCCGGAAGGUUAAUUGAUGGGGUCAGCGCAAGCGAAGCUCUUGAUCGAAGCCCCGGUAAACGGCGGCCGUAACUAUAACGGUCCUAAGGUAGCGAAAUUCCUUGUCGGGUAAGUUCCGACCUGCACGAAUGGCGUAAUGAUGGCCAGGCUGUCUCCACCCGAGACUCAGUGAAAUUGAACUCGCUGUGAAGAUGCAGUGUACCCGCGGCAAGACGGAAAGACCCCGUGAACCUUUACUAUAGCUUGACACUGAACAUUGAGCCUUGAUGUGUAGGAUAGGUGGGAGGCUUUGAAGUGUGGACGCCAGUCUGCAUGGAGUCGACCUUGAAAUACCACCCUUUAAUGUUUGAUGUUCUAACGUGGACCCGUGAUCCGGGUUGCGGACAGUGUCUGGUGGGUAGUUUGACUGGGGCGGUCUCCUCCUAAAGAGUAACGGAGGAGCACGAAGGUUGGCUAAUCCUGGUCGGACAUCAGGAGGUUAGUGCAAUGGCAUAAGCCAGCUUGACUGCGAGCGUGACGGCGCGAGCAGGUGCGAAAGCAGGUCAUAGUGAUCCGGUGGUUCUGAAUGGAAGGGCCAUCGCUCAACGGAUAAAAGGUACUCCGGGGAUAACAGGCUGAUACCGCCCAAGAGUUCAUAUCGACGGCGGUGUUUGGCACCUCGAUGUCGGCUCAUCACAUCCUGGGGCUGAAGUAGGUCCCAAGGGUAUGGCUGUUCGCCAUUUAAAGUGGUACGCGAGCUGGGUUUAGAACGUCGUGAGACAGUUCGGUCCCUAUCUGCCGUGGGCGAUGGAGAACUGAGGGGGGCUGCUCCUAGUACGAGAGGACCGGAGUGGACGCAUCACUGGUGUUCGGGUUGUCAUGCCAAUGGCACUGCCCGGUAGCUAAAUGCGGAAGAGAUAAGUGCUGAAAGCAUCUAAGCACGAAACUUGCCCCGAGAUGAGUUCUCCCUGACCCUUUAAGGGUCCUGAAGGAACGUUGAAGACGACGACGUUGAUAGGCCGGGUGUGUAAGCGCAGCGAUGCGUUGAGCUAACCGGUACUAAUGAACCGUGAGGCUUAACCUU